RNAcentral lists this long non-coding RNA (779 nucleotides) under Monodelphis domestica (gray short-tailed opossum). RNAcentral describes it as "lncRNA (ENSMODG00000046110.1)". Lineage: Eukaryota; Metazoa; Chordata; Mammalia; Didelphimorphia; Didelphidae. The record is from RNAcentral.
UUCAUGCACAAGAGAAGAGCCAUGAUGUCAUUGAUCCUCUUUGGAAAUGAAGGACAAAUAACAACAAAGCCUGAUCUAUGUCUCACAGGAAGAGGGGGAUUCUGUAAGGUUGACAUUAUGAGAAAUGAGGCAAUAGAAGAAAAAUAAUGAAUUUCAGAAAUAUUGUCCUUAUGGAAAGAAAAUAGAAACUAGGAGAAGCUUGCUAUUUAUUUCCUAGGGAAGGUGAGUUUGAAUCUUUUCUUACACAGAAGCAGACCUUAUUGUCACUUCUUUGCCAUUUUUUAAUCAUGCUGCCUGUACUUGGGCUAUCAUUUUCAUCUUUCUCUUCCCCACCUCAUUUCCACCAGAAACUUGGACUAUACCCCUGAGAUGUCAGGUUAAACUAGGUGAGCUUUCAACUUAUCUUUUCCAAAACCAGGUCUCUUAGUCACUUCCCAGCUAUUUCUAAAUCUCCCCCACCUAGUACUUUGUGGUUCCUGUUAAUGGAUUUUCUUCCCCUAUUAGAAAGUAACUUUUUUGAGUUCAGGGACUAUCUUUCUUGUAUAUAUUUAUAUCUUCACCUCUUUACUAUACUGUGUGCAACAUAUUAGGCAUAUAAAUUCUUUCAUCAUCAUCAUCAUUAUCAAAUUUAGUCCUAUUUGAAAGGCAUCAAAGUAUAGUAAAGUACAUAGUUUAGAAUCAAGAAUAUUUGAGUUCAUAUCAUGAUACAUAUUAUCUGUGUUUACUAUGGAAGAAUUACUUAACUUCUCAAAGAUUCAGUUUCUUCAUCUGUGAAAAGG